AUCUAUGGGCAUACUACCCCGAACAAGCCUGAUGUCUGAUCUCGGAAGCUAAGCAGGGUCAGGCUUGGUUAGUACUUGGAUGGGAGACCACCUAGGAAGACCAGGUGCUGUAGGCA
This 116-nucleotide ribosomal RNA is filed under the name Pteropus alecto (black flying fox). RNAcentral also lists the same sequence under 1 other name. Lineage: Eukaryota; Metazoa; Chordata; Mammalia; Chiroptera; Pteropodidae. The record is from RNAcentral.